Long non-coding RNA from Oncorhynchus keta (chum salmon), 1296 nucleotides. RefSeq lists it as uncharacterized. The record is from RefSeq and is a predicted model, not a curated record. Lineage: Eukaryota; Metazoa; Chordata; Actinopteri; Salmoniformes; Salmonidae. The transcript is spliced from 2 exons.
GUCUUCUCUGGCUGUGCGGGUAGGGUUAUCCUGUGGGUUGUUUUCACUGUGUCUGCGCGCUGCAUGUGAUUUAAACUACCGUAGCAAAGAAUAGUUUAGCUGUAGGCUUCGAAACGCAUUCUAGAAUGACAUUUACAAGCAAUACAAAACCCGAUAAGAUGCAAUACACACACUUUACAGUGUUAAUUUGAGCACUUUUUGGUUGAUCUCGGGCUCUAUUAGCCCUUGACUCUCAGUUGCAUUAUAUUACACUAGUCAUUGGACAAAUGCGUAUUUUGUAGGGGGAGAUUUAAGAGCCCAGAUGCCUGGUCUGAACAUUAACACCUAUCACAUGUGGUACAGUUUUGGAAGCAUAAGGACAUUAUCUUUAUCAGCUAGAAAACAAAAAGUUGAAUUGAUACAAAUGUAUGGGGUUAGUGUCCCCCCACGGGCAUAUCGCCAUGUUACAGCACUUUAACGGAGAACGGUGCUAAUUAGCUGUCUCGCCUACUCUGGAAGUGCAGUUUCGUUGGAUGGAGGCACCCAUAGCUGUAUGGAUCUAUUCAAAUCUGCUACAGCUACAGAGAUGGGCUCCUGGAUCACCUCAAGGUCACCCUUGAUCGAGCACCGCAUAUGUGGAAGCUGUGCAUCCCAGGACCCCUGUCGGCCCAGUGUGAGAGGCCUGACAAGGAGGCGGGCCUAGCUAUUUGUCUCCCAUGUCAAUCUUGAGGGUAACUGAAGCCUGCUUGAUUGAAGUGGGGUAUGCGGGUCCCCAUCAAUCUCUGUAGGUGGUUGAGUUUUCUAAAGUCAAAGUAAAUCACGUUUACGUGAUGACAUCACACUUUGUAUUGUUUCUUCAAGCAUUCGGACAGGAGUGCAGCGUUACAAAUUGUAUGAGUCAAAGGGUCCUGCACACUGUUGGGUGGCCGGGUGCCCAUAUAAGGCAUAUGGCUCUAAAAUAUUUCUUAAAUGUCAAAUGAUGUCUCAUCAUUAUUUCUCAUCAUCAUUUAUGUUGAUCAAUAUUUCGGUUGUGCUGGCCUAAUUUGUAAAUGAUUAAAUACAUGUCUGAUCAAUACAUACAAUUCUGAAUAUAUUGUUAUUUAUAAUGCUAAUGAAGAGGCACCAAUAAAUUGUCCAGUACACUCAUUAUAUGCUGUUUUCAUAUACAUACCUUUAUGUCUACGCUUCUAAGGUGUCUCGGGCUUUACUAAUUAUUGUGAAGAAAUGUAUUCUGUAAUUAGUUACAAAACAAUAGUCUGACUAAACUUCAUAUGGAGAAAAGGAAUGCUGUAUUCUAUUUUGGAAACAUCUGUCUUU